AGAGUUUGAUCAUGGCUCAGGACGAACGCUGGCGGCGUGCCUAAUACAUGCAAGUCGAGCGAGCUUGCCUAGAUGAUUUUAGUGCUUGCACUAAAUGAAACUAGAUACAAGCGAGCGGCGGACGGGUGAGUAACACGUGGGUAACCUGCCCAAGAGACUGGGAUAACACCUGGAAACAGAUGCUAAUACCGGAUAACAACACUAGACGCAUGUCUAGAGUUUGAAAGGUGGUUCUGCUAUCACUCUUGGAUGGACCUGCGGUGCAUUAGCUAGUUGGUAAGGUAACGGCUUACCAAGGCAAUGAUGCAUAGCCGAGUUGAGAGACUGAUCGGCCACAUUGGGACUGAGACACGGCCCAAACUCCUACGGGAGGCAGCAGUAGGGAAUCUUCCACAAUGGACGAAAGUCUGAUGGAGCAACGCCGCGUGAGUGAAGAAGGGUUUCGGCUCGUAAAGCUCUGUUGGUAGUGAAGAAAGAUAGAGGUAGUAACUGGCCUUUAUUUGACGGUAAUUACUUAGAAAGUCACGGCUAACUACGUGCCAGCAGCCGCGGUAAUACGUAGGUGGCAAGCGUUGUCCGGAUUUAUUGGGUGUAAAGCGAGUGCAGGCGGUUCAAUAAGUCUGAUGUGAAAGCCUUCGGCUCAACCGGAGAAUUGCAUCAGAAACUGUUGAACUUGAGUGCAGAAGAGGAGAGUGGAACUCCAUGUGUAGCGGUGGAAUGCGUAGAUAUAUGGAAGAACACCAGUGGCGAAGGCGGCUCUCUGGUCUGCAACUGACGCUGAGGCUCGAAAGCAUGGGUAGCGAACAGGAUUAGAUACCCUGGUAGUCCAUGCCGUAAACGAUGAGUGCUAAGUGUUGGGAGGUUUCCGCCUCUCAGUGCUGCAGCU
RNAcentral lists this ribosomal RNA (886 nucleotides) under uncultured bacterium. RNAcentral's name for it is "bacterial SSU rRNA". It matches the Rfam family "Bacterial small subunit ribosomal RNA", at positions 8 to 853 of the family's 1533-position model. The record is from RNAcentral.